RNAcentral lists this ribosomal RNA (489 nucleotides) under Micromonas pusilla. RNAcentral's name for it is "SSU rRNA". It matches the Rfam family "Eukaryotic small subunit ribosomal RNA", at positions 654 to 1147 of the family's 1831-position model. RNAcentral also lists the same sequence under 1 other name. The record is from RNAcentral. Lineage: Eukaryota; Viridiplantae; Chlorophyta; Mamiellophyceae; Mamiellales; Mamiellaceae.
AGAGCGGCCGGUCCGCCGUUUGGUGUGCACUGGCUGGUUUCAGCUUCCUGCAGAGGACGCGCUCUGGGCUUAAUCGUCUGGACGUGGAGUCUGCGUGGUUACUUUGAAAAAAUUAGAGUGUUCAAAGCGGGCUUACGCUUGAAUAUUUCAGCAUGGAAUAACACUAUAGGACUCCUGUCCUAUUUCGUUGGUCUCGGGACGGGAGUAAUGAUUAAGAGGAACAGUUGGGGGCAUUCGUAUUUCAAUGUCAGAGGUGAAAUUCUUGGAUUUUUGAAAGACGAACUUCUGCGAAAGCAUUUGCCAAGGAUGUUUUCAUUAAUCAAGAACGAAAGUUGGGGGCUCGAAGAUGAUUAGAUACCAUCCUAGUCUCAACCAUAAACGAUGCCGACUAGGGAUUGGCGGAUGUUAAUUGAUGACUCCGCCAGCACCUUAUGAGAAAUCAAAGUUUUUGGGUUCCGGGGGGAGUAUGGUCGCAAGGCUGAAACUCAA